AUUGAACGCUGGCGGCAGGCUUAACACAUGCAAGUCGAGCGAGCGGCGGACGGGUGAGUAAUGCCUGGGAAACUGCCUGAUGGAGGGGGAUAACUACUGGAAACGGUAGCUAAUACCGCAUACCACCAGAUGUGUCCCGAUGGGAUUAGCUAGUAGGUGGGGUAAUGGCUCUGCGAGGCGAUGAUCCCUAGCUGGGCUGCGAGGAUGACCGGCCGCACGGGAACUGAGACCCGGUCCAGACUACUGAGAGAGGGAGCAGUGGGGAAUAUUGCGCAAUGGGCGCAAGCCUGAUGCAGCCAGGCCGCGUGUGGGAAGAAGGCCUUCGGGUUGUAAAGCACUUUCAGCGAGGAGGCGUUACUCGCAGAAGAAGCACCGGCUAACUCCGUGCCAGCAGCCGCGGUAAUAC
Molecule: ribosomal RNA, 406 nt
Filed under: uncultured bacterium
Lineage: Bacteria
Description: partial 16S ribosomal RNA
Rfam family: Bacterial small subunit ribosomal RNA
Source: RNAcentral